This 470-nucleotide ribosomal RNA is filed under the name uncultured bacterium. Its description in RNAcentral is "partial 16S ribosomal RNA". It matches the Rfam family "Bacterial small subunit ribosomal RNA", at positions 28 to 507 of the family's 1533-position model. The record is from RNAcentral.
GACGAACGCUGGCGGCGUGCUUAACACAUGCAAGUCGAACGAGAUCCAAUGUGUAGCAAUACACAGGAAGAUCUAGUGGCGAACGGGUGAGGAACACGUGAGAAACGUACCCCAGACUGUGGGAUAACAGUCCGAAAGGACUGCUAAUACCAAAUAACGUCUGAAGUCCGCAUGGACAUCUGACGAAAGGGAGUCCGGUUUGGGAGCGUCUCGCGGACCUAUCAGCUAGGUGGAGGGGUAACGGCCCACCAAGGCAACGACGGGCAGCUGGUCUGAGAGGAGAGUCAGGCACACUGGGACUGAGACACGGCCCAGACUCCUACGGGAGGCAGCAGUGGGGAAUCUUGCGCAAUGGGCGAAAGCCUGACGCAGCAACGCCGCGUGCGGGAAGAAGGCUUUCGGGCUGUAAACCGCUUUAAGUAGGAACGAAACUGACGGUACCUACAGAGGAAGGAGCGGCCAACUAUGUG